RNAcentral lists this ribosomal RNA (742 nucleotides) under uncultured Verrucomicrobiota bacterium. RNAcentral describes it as "bacterial SSU rRNA". It matches the Rfam family "Bacterial small subunit ribosomal RNA", at positions 131 to 868 of the family's 1533-position model. The record is from RNAcentral. Lineage: Bacteria; Pseudomonadati; Verrucomicrobiota.
UUGAAGUGUGGGAUAACUCCGAGAAAUCGGAGCUAAUACCGCAUGUGAUCGUGAGAUCAAAGUUGGGGAUCGCAAGACCUGACGCUUCAAGAUGAGCCCGCGGCCUAUCAGCUAGUUGGUGAGGUAAAAGCUCACCAAGGCUAAGACGGGUAGCUGGUCUGAGAGGACGACCAGCCACACUGGAACUGAGACACGGUCCAGACACCUACGGGUGGCAGCAGUCGAGAAUUUUUCUCAAUGGGCGAAAGCCUGAAGGAGCGACGCCGCGUGGGGGAUGAAUGGCUUCGGCCCGUAAACCCCUGUCAUUUGCGAACAAAUUGACUCACCUAACACGUGUGUCAUUGAUUGUAGCGGAAGAGGAAGGGACGGCUAACUCUGUGCCAGCAGCCGCGGUAAUACAGAGGUCCCAAGCGUUGUUCGGAUUCACUGGGCGUAAAGGGUGCGUAGGCGGUUGGGUAAGUCUGACGUGAAAUCUCCGGGCCUAACCCGGAAACUGCGUUGGAUACUAUCCGGCUAGAGGAAUGGAGGGGAGACUGGAAUACUUGGUGUAGCAGUGAAAUGCGUAGAUAUCAAGUGGAACACCAGUGGCGAAGGCGAGUCUCUGGACAUUUCCUGACGCUGAGGCACGAAAGCCAGGGGAGCAAACGGGAUUAGAUACCCCGGUAGUCCUGGCCCUAAACGGUGCACGUUUGCUGUAAGUGGAAUCGACCCCACUUGUGGCGUAGUUAACACGAUAAACGUG